Chlorocebus sabaeus (green monkey) is the source of this 75-nucleotide microRNA precursor. NCBI's taxonomy places the organism in Eukaryota, Metazoa, Chordata, Mammalia, Primates, Cercopithecidae. The record is from Ensembl.
GGGGUCUUGUUAAAAUGCGGAUUCUGAUUCAGCAGAUCUGGGUGAGACCCAAGAUUCUGCAUUUCUAACAAGUUC